CACAGCAGUUUAUCUUGCUCUGAAUCACACACACACACACACACACACACACACACUUCACCCCACCAGUGUUGCCGCCCUUCCCCCCUCCUCCUCCUUCUUGUCCUGUCAUACGUUCGACUUCAGCAUAUUAGUCGCCUUGUAGGUGUGUGCCAUCUGUGUCUUGUCCCCUUCCCUACUAGCUGUAGAAUCUGAAUUCAUUGUACAUACCAACUUCACCAACGAGAGGGAGCACACACACACACACACACAGAGCGAAAAAGAAAGCGUUUGGCCUCCUUCCCUCCUGUACUUCUCCUCCGCACACGACGCUGGUGAUCACUCCCACACGCCUAAUCCUUUUGGCUUUUAGCUUUCCUUUGUGUUGGCUUCGUUUUAUCUCUGUUUCUAUUGUUUCUGCUGUUGUUGCGUUUAUCGCCAGCGCCCUUGGCCUUGUCCUGGCAUACACACGGGCUGGCACCCCAGCACCCCGGGGUGCCCAGGACUUCUGCGUCUCUGGACGGGUGUUCCAUCUCGCUCUCUUCUUCCUCUUUCUCUUUCUUGUCCGCUGUCUGCGCAGAUCUAUAUAUAUAUAUACAUACACACUCACACACGCCUCUAUAUACAAAUCGGUAUAGCUAUAUAUCUUCCUGCUCUCUCGCCUUGUACGCCUCUUGUGUGUGCGCGCGAGUGUUCUCUUUUUUCUUUUUGUUUUCGCUCUUUCCUUUUGAGCGGAAGGUUGUGAUUCCUCGCUUGGUCGAUCUGCCCUGUCCUGCCCUGCCCUGUCUUUGCUGCCUAAGUGUUAUCUUUUUUUCGUUGACUUUUCCGCGUUGUGCUGCUUCGCCGUGUCUUUUUGCCCCCUCCCCCCAAUCCUUUGUUGUUCGCAUACGCACGCACGCUGCAGCGCUUUUUCAUCGUCGUCUUGUUGUUGCCGCGGUCAUCGUGCUCAUUCUGUUGUUUUCUGCGCGUGCUUCUUCUGACUUCCUCUCCUGUGCCACGUCUCCAGGGGGUACGUUAGAGGAGGAGGGCCACUCUCCCGCGUCUCGGACCUUGUGGGCCACGUUGUCGUCGACUCUCUCUCUCUCUAUACGCACACUGUGUAGCCAUGUCUAAUAGAUCCCUGCAUGGCGGGCACACCACCAUACACAACAACAACGCAUACCAUGACGCCGCCAAGGAGGAGCGCCAGCUUCAGGAGCAGCAGAAGCCCUCCAUGCCCGGAAGCCACGCCGCCGUCGAGCGGAUGACGGCAGUGCAAGUUGUCGACCGGCUGCGCUGGUGGCGCACCCAUCGUGUGCGUGAGCAGCCCAUCCCAGUCGAUCACUUUGUGCUGCGCGGCAGCUACGCCAACUACUCCUCGUUCGGCACGCGCCCCCUCGCUCCCAGUGUGACGCGACUGCUGCAGAAGGCACGCACGGUGCGGGCACAGUACCUCCGCACACAACAGCAGCCACAACACGAGGCGCCACGGCAAAGCCGACAAGUCUCGAGUCUGCUAAUGGCCCCCACAGCGGGGGCAUCCGUGCGCAGUGCUUCGAAUGAGCGACUGGGCAGCGAUGCGGGGGAGACGGAGCGCACCACAGGUUGCAUUUCAGAAGAGGAGGGCCAGUAUGGCGAGCACCAGCAGCGGCAGCUCCGUGAGAUGAAUGAUGAUGCGAAGGAAAAGGUGAACAACAAGCGCCGAGCCGCUGUCAUCGCAUCCUGGCCGCGGUCGCCGCGUCCCCUCAACGAGGUUGCCAUUGCCUGCCUCGGAGAGCCGGCAGGGCAGCGUGAUUCGGCCACUGAUAAUAUUACCCGCAUCUCACUCUCGGCGUCAGGUUCAGCCGGCACCUCUCCACCUCUCGUCAGAGCAGUGUCCGGGUCUGCUCCGAGUAUCGAUACGCCUUCCGGUGCGUUGUAUGUUCCCUCGGAACAGGAAGCGCGCGUCGCUGAGCGACUGCUCAUGCUGUUCAGACCGCGCGCCGCCUCAGCACCGCUGCGAUCACGUCGGUAUCGGUGCACCGCAGGACGCCUUGAUGCCACGUCCAGUGAAUUCAGCGGUGAGCCCCCUCUUCAGGGCGAUUGGGGACACGCGGAGGCCACUGGGCUGCACCAUGAGCGCAUGACACGCGUUUCCGCCUCUGACGAGAUAACGGAUGUUCGCCGCGCCCCCGGCGCAGCCGAAGCCGUGAUUGUCCUGCACCACGCCCCGCGGCUCGUCUUGUACGAGAAGGGGUUGAACCCGAAGGCGGCACUGCGGGCCGCCGGCAUCUCGUCGGAUGCCCUCGAAAGUCUCGACGACGCUGCGGCGGAGAGCUCAGCAGAAGUUUUCGCGCUGAGGAACCUACCCUUGUUCGCAUUUGAGCGCUUCUUUUAUCAGCAGCAGCUCCGCGGGCUGGCGGAGACGAGGCGGAGCCAUACGCCGGGGAUGCGGUCAGCAUCGGCAGACGCCAGCGCGGAGAGCGCUGGGGUCCCUGAGAGCGACACGGCUUCCGCUCCGACGGGUGCUGCUGCUGGUGCUGUUGCGGCGGCAGACACUGCCGUGGACGACGACAUCAUUGCAAAUGGUGAUGACGCAUUCUUCUUCGGGUCGCCCUUGACGGCGACCUUAGCGUGCUCGCUGAAAACUGUCGUGCCACUGUCGUCGGUUGCGGCAGCUGCGGCUCCCGGUUCACGUGGUCGAGACGGACGAGACGCUGCGGCCCGGCAAGCUGUACAGCAUCGCGGCCGUGGUCGAGACGACGGCAGCAAUCGCAGGAGGGGAGGCCGGGCAGCGCUGCGUGCUGUCUCAGUGCCGGCCCUGCCGCCAGUGUACAAGGGCGGAUGCCCACAGAUGACUCUCGCUACGUCGCAUCACCACCUCAGUUCCGGCGCGCGGCUGCAGCAACAACAGCAGAGCUCGAAUCGUCCCUCUCCGAUUCUCUCGGCGGGGCUGCGCUCCAGCAAGGCGCCGCAGAACGGUGCUCAUCUGUGCCUCCGUGUGGAUGACCUGCAGGAUGUGUACGUGUUCAACCCAGUUGUGGACAUGAUCGGCAAGGGUGCCUUCUCCAAGGUAUACGCGGCGGUUCCCAUCCUUCGCGGAAAAGAGGGACUUCGGCGCUUCGCCUCGCCGUUGCUGGACGGGCAGGCGGCCCCGUGCGGCAGCGACGAGCUCAGUGGCAGUGGCCCACGGGAGGGGGGCAGGCGCGUUUCAACGGUGCGGAGGGUGAGCCCAGUACGCCGGAACUCGUCCUCUACCGCGCUGCGUGUGGACCCUGCCGCCGGCGCGGCUGUCGGCGACGCGGCCGGGCCACUCACAGAUGAUGAGACGGCGAAGCGCAGACCGCACGCACAGUCACUGGCGGCGUCUCUACACUCUAUUCCCGUUGUCGCACUCAAGGUGAUCCCGCGCAAGGCACGCCAGAAGCCGAAGGCGGCGCCUGAUCCGCUUGCCACCACGCACUCCACUGCCGCUGCCGCGGCAGGAAGCGUCGCUUCGAAUGCGCAGCAAGCAGCGCAGAACGACCAAAACAGCGUGCGUCGCGAACUCGUCGAGAUCGAGCGCGAGGUCUCGAUCCUGCGCAGUCUUCACCACACCGGCUGUUCGCAGUUCUUCGAGGCGAUCCGCACCCCAGACGCCUUCGUCAUCGCGAUGCGCGUCUUCCCUGGCAGCAUGGAUGCACAGCGCUACCUCUCCCGCUACGGGGCACCGUCAGAGGCGCGGGCGGCCCUGCUGCUCUUCCAGCUCGUCUCCACGGUGCAAUAUCUGCACACCAACUUUGGACUUAUCCACCGCGACAUUAAGCUGGAGAACAUUCUCCUUUCCGAGGCCGACGCCGGAGUUCCCGACGCGCGCAUCCGCGAGGUGCUUGGGCCGGCUUUGCACAAGUCCGACACGUCAGCCAUGAUGACCGAGAUCGAGGGUGGCCGAAAAGGCUGCGCCUCGGCGACGACCGCCGCCGAAACCCGGACAGCUGCACAGCGCCGCUAUUCGAUGCUGUCCCGCAACGUGGCACGACUGCUGCGAGUGACUCUCAUCGACUUCGGGCUCGCUCGCCGCACCCGUGCAAGUACCCUGUCACCGAUCGUUGCCGCGUCGCGCGGGCGCGGUGCAGGGGCGCAACACGGCAGCCUGAACGCGACCAUCACGUCGCCAACUCACCUUGCCUCUUUCCCACCCACCAGUGCAUCCCUCGCGGCCAGCCACCCGCACGCCUCUCACAACCCGAACAGCAGCAGCUACAGUGGCAGCCUCGGCUCACCAGCGUCGUCCAGCGCGGGGUGUGCUGCCGGUGUAGUGAUGCUCGCCAAUGGCGGGAACAGCUCCAGCAACAGCUACACGCCGGCCAAACCGGCUCCACCGAAGCCGCCGCUGCUUUGUCGGCCACCCAGCGCGGCUGUCGGUGCUGGCACGGCACGCCUUGGGUCAAGUAGUGCGGGCAUCAGCGCCAUGGAACGGAGCACGCCGCGUGCUGGUAUGCCUUCGCCGAUGCCGUCCACGGCAAACAUGUUCACCCGCUUCCUCGACCUCGAGGAGGAGAUGGAUGAGGAGGAAAACGGUGGCGCAGCGGGCACAUCGAACACGACCGCCAACACAACCACGAAAGUCGCUGACCUCGGCCGGGGUGGUCGACGGGACAUGGCCGAGAACGAGGACGACAGUGGCGCCUUCAGCACCGACGUGAGUGCGUCGGAGACGGACUGCGAGUCGGAAGGCGGCAGCACCGCUGAACCAAAGGAAGGGAGCGCACCGAACGGGGAGGAGCGCCGCGAAACAGGACCACAGCAGGAGCAUGUGGCGCGCAAAGCACUCAUAUCUCCCAGCGUGCUGAGAGCGCACCCACAGACGCCACCGGGAUCAGCGAUAAUAGUGUCGCCUCCUCUGCCUCCGACCCCGAUGCUCCUGUCCAGCACCACCGCUUUUACCCUCGAUCACUUCAACGCAGAAAACAGUAGCAGCAGCUGCAACACCAGCGGCCCCGCUGCGGGCGGUGCUGGCCUGCGCAACAGAUGUGCUGGCUGUAUCUACACUUCCCAUCAGCAGCUGUCACCGGCGCCUCCAGUCGUCGCGGCUGGUGUGAGCUCAGCGCCGGAUGACACCGAGGCAACACUGCUGCUCACUCCGUGCGGCACAGAGAAGUACCUCCCGCCCGAGGUGCUGUCUUGGAUCCUGGAGCACGGCUGGGCGCGGCGCUCGACGACGGUGGGCCUCGCCCGCGCCAUGGACCUGUAUUCGAUUGGCAUCGUUGCAUACGUGCUGCUCAGCGGCUGCUUUCCCUUCAACGCGUCCUCGCGGGCAACGCUGCUUCAGCAGCAGCAGCGGGUGCCGCGGUGCAACAGCGCUCGCUGGGCUGGCGUGAGCAGCGCGGCCAUCUCAUUCGUGCAGCGGUUGCUAGAGCCGAACCCACGGAAGCGUAUGACGGCGAAGGAGGCUCUUGAGCAUCCGUUCCUGCACGAGGCUCGUCAGCUCGCCGAGAAGCUGUCGCUCGUGCCACACGGAGAGGGAGAGGAGGCGUCACACCCGUCGACUUGGCGGGACGGUAGUCACAUGGACAAUCACCACCGCCACAGCAUCGGCGGCACCGGUCGCCACUUCGAAGACGACGCCAACGUGCAUGCGCGGUCGCACUGGGCCACGAGCACCACGGCAACGACUAACUUGCCGCACUCGGCGCCGUCGCCAACGCACCCUGACCACACGCACUCUGGUGCUGCGAUCGAGAGGGCGUCGACGCAGCCGAGUAGCAGCGUGAGCCUCGCCGUCUACGACUCUCAGCGCCGUCACGCAGGUGGCCCGUGCGAGCUGGCGGCAGCAAAUGAGCCAUCACCGCUGAGCAGCAACAGCGGCGCCGACGGUGGCGGCGAGCUGCUAUGUCAUCACGUGGAGAGUGGCACUGCGCCAACUGUAACGAGCAUCAGCAGUGGAUGUCGUCUGUCCGACGCACCCCGCGUGUGCCGCAGCAGCGACGAGUGCGAGAGAGAUGAUGUGCGCGCCUCCGUUACUCGUGAUGUGCCUGGAAAGGUGCAGCCACUGCUGCAGGUUUGCAAGGAGAGUCCAUACUCGACAACACCACCGGUGCCUGUCACGCCGACGUUGGCCAAACCGUGCACGGCAGCGCUGGCAAGGGCGGCAUCGAUCGAGCUACCCGCCCUCUCCUCGUUGGUGGCGCAUCCAGCGAAACCCUCACCGUCUUCUACUCUUUAUUUUACCGCGACAGGCACGACAGCGUCUGCCGACGGCGGUCGGGCGGAGAGGGCGACGCUGCCGGAGCCAGAAUCUGCCGCAGCAGGAUCAUCGGCACCAGCGCUGGCGCCGGGCAGUAAGGAUGCAGCAGCCGCAAAUCGGCCUGUUUCUCUUUCGCCGGCCGCUACGACCAGCACUGCGAGGGCGACGGAGGGUGGCGAAGACGACUUAUUCGAGUCUCUCUACAACAACAUCAUGUCGAGCGACUGACGCGGAGCGGGCUUCUCCUUCUUACGAACGUGACACGUGCCUGCCUCCAAUUCUCGCUCUGUCUUUGCGUAGAGGCACUUUGCGCGGGUGCUUGGCAAGCGCCUGUCCGCCUGUCCCGAGUGCGCUUGUGUGGCUCUCACGGUGUUUCUUGUCCAUGCAGGUGAGCGUGCUUUAACUGUGAUGAUGCUUGUGUUUCGACAUGGCGUGCCUGCGACUAAUUCUAGAGACUUCGCGUUCCCCCGGAGGAGUUGGAUGGGCUCUCUGCGCAGAGACGCGUGAAGGAAGCGUCGGAUGCCGUACUCCGUCUCUCUUCGUUCCUGCUUUGUUUGCUGUUUUUUUUUUUUUUCUCUCUCUUCCCAUUGCGUUAUGCGAUGUGUUGGUGCCCGUGGUCGCUUCGUUGCUCUCGCCCCCCUCCCCCUUCCUCUGUUGUUGUUCCCUUACUGGAUGGGUGUUUUCUUUUCUUUCGCGGUGUACAUUCUGUGCGUGCCUCUGUGUGUGCGUGCCAUCGUAAUAUCUCAAGUUUCUUCCUUCGCGGUCGCUUGCGUCUUUGUUUUUCUUCGUUGCCUACGUCUCUCCCUCUUCCCCCCUCCCUUCCCAUGUCCGUUUUUCUACGAGGUCUACCCUCUUCUUCUUGGCUGCUGAGUGCAGAUGUUCCCGGGCGUGUUGUGCGUGCGGAAGUGUUUCUGCCGUUUCUUGUUCUUGGGCAGUGCAGCCUCUUCUCCUCCGUUUUACUUCCCUCCCGACACACACACACACACACACGCUGACGCAAACGCAUAUAUAUAUAUACAUACAUAGGGAGAGCGGAUGUGUCCGUGUCGGUGCGCGCGCGGGUUUCUGUGCGUCUGUAUGCAUCCUUUUCUUUCUUGCCCGUCUCUUCCUUUCUCCCCCAUCUGCACCGGAGCCAUCAUGUUUUGCCUUAGCGGAGGGGAACUUCGACAGACACAAGCAGCCGACGGCGAUAAUGUUCAAUCAAGACACCAGCUGUACUUGUGUGUCUCUCUCUGUGUAUCCGUGCGUCCUUUAGCCUGGCCCCCCUCCCCCACUGUGUACGGCACGCGCCUAUGCACGUGUGUGUAUGCCUGCACGUGCUAGGGCAGGUGUGUAUGCGCGUGAAAGAGGCCCGUGCUGCUUAGAAACGCGGCCAGGGGUCUCAGCAUGGAUAUGCCAGCCAGAGGAACACACCGCAGCAGGGGAGAGAGAGAACCAGCGAGAGGGGGUGCCGUACAUUCCUCCACUCCUCCGCAUCAACGUUGUCCUUCAUGUACGUGCAUGCGCUAGAAAAAGAAACAGACAUGUGGGCCCCUCCUCCCCCCUCCUUGCUCACCGACGCCCAGGCUAUGUAUUCACGUGGCAAAGGAGUAAAGGCUUCACACCGCCUCACCGGAGGCAAAAAUCCGUCAUGCUGCAAAAGCGUAUGGGCAAUCAGAAGAAGAAGCGAAUGCGAGACGAAGAAAGACGCCGUUGCCUGCUUUGGCUUCGCAUUCAAAUGACCGAGGCGACUGCGCGCACCAGAGGGCGCUGCAUUCCACACAGCUGCGUGGUGGGCGGGGAAGACCUUUAGGUUCUCCUCGGGCCUUCCCGACAUCCGACAGAAGGGAGCACCGCGGAGAAGACGCUGAGGCUGGAUGCACUUCAUUUCCCCCCUCUGCAUCUUCAGUGUGCUGCUGCACGUGGUGGCGCCUCUGCGCUUCCAUGUCUCCCACCAUGCUCCUUUCAUGGACCUGAGGACACACGCCCAAAAACAUCCCCAAGCCUCCACUGCACCACAGCUGUCUCUCCCGGACCUCUACAUGCUUAUCGGCAUCAAAAACGAGUCGUGCACACGACCUCACACCUGCUUCCGCUCCUUUCCACUUGCGAAUUAUUUAUCAUCGCCAGCAAGAGAAGGAUUGGCUGCAUAUCUCCUCCUUUUCCCGCACCGUUUCUUUUUUUUCUUCUCUCCCCCUCUCCGUCUCUCUCUCUCUCUGCACGCGUGUGUGCGUGUGCGUGUGCAUGUGCGUGUGCUGGUCUGCAAG
Molecule: unclassified non-coding RNA, 8409 nt
Filed under: Leishmania donovani
Lineage: Eukaryota; Euglenozoa; Kinetoplastea; Trypanosomatida; Trypanosomatidae
Description: gene:LdHU3.26.2790(CDS-product:protein_kinase_put ative)
Source: RNAcentral